GCCUUAUCUAUUUAUCUGGUGUAGGUUAUAAAGCUAUAAUAGACAUAGAUCAGUCGAAUUUCCUAAAUUACUGUUUGGCUCUAAUAUACUGGCUAGCAAAACUAGCUAUCAUUACAAGCCUCUACCAGGUUAGUGAAGCAGGAAAUGAAACCUCUCAAAAGCACAGCCAACAAGAUGUGAUGCUACAGUAGUCUCUAUGUUAACUGUGUUGCAUGACUUAAACCAUAAAGCACCUUUUUCUAAUAUUUCUUGUGUUUUCCUUACAGAUCCAGCAAAAUCUCACGCCAAUAAUGAGGGUUAUGUGACUCUUAUCUUUUCUAUUGGGCUUGCCAUUGGCAUUAUCAUCAUCAUCAUCAUCAUUUCUGUGACAGUGUGGUACUGUCUAAAGAAAAGAAAAAAUCACAGCCCAACCUCUGACUCAGAAUCCAACAGAUGAUGCUCCAAACUCCACCUACUGCAUGGUCGGCCCUCACACUGGACCUGGAGGAUCCAAGGAGACCAGAUCCCCGGUUCAGCCAGAGAGUCUGUAUGCUCAGGUUGACAGAUCUGUUAAAAAAAAUAAUCAGGAUUUCCACUUGCAAUGUAUAUCUGACCUGUUCUGCUACGAAAAGACUGUUAACUAAAAGAAAAGACUGGAAUCUAAACAUCAAACACACGCAGGAUUAGAUUUUUGUAUCAUCACAUUUUGAACCAUUACGUCCAAAAAAAAAGUCAAACGCCACAAAAAUACAUUUUAGUAUGUUAUUUCUGUGCUAUAUCUUGGGACAUUGUUUACAAUAAAUCUAUUAAUACUACAAUGAAGAUCAACAGCUUGGGUAUGUUGGGUUGACUCUCCAUCUCACUUUUUCACUUGUCUGGAUGUUUUCAUUACAGUCCAGUUAUAAAUAUGCAAUUCAGAAGAAACUCACUGCAGUGACCAUUAUCUCAGUGUGAUGUAAAAGCUUCAGUUGCCAUGAAUAUUGUAUCUGAGCAUGAUGAACAAAAUGAUGCCACAUUGUUCUAGGAGCAAUGAUUUACAGUAUGGAAGUGUGAAUUUCACACAUAGUUGUUGGGAUGAGAAGCUAUGCACUUCAGCACUCUGAUACAACACAGAUUAUUAAAAAGAUGGUA
This is a long non-coding RNA of Centropristis striata (black sea bass), 1110 nucleotides long. RefSeq lists it as uncharacterized. The record is from RefSeq and is a predicted model, not a curated record. The transcript has 2 exons. NCBI's taxonomy places the organism in Eukaryota, Metazoa, Chordata, Actinopteri, Perciformes, Serranidae.